CCUAUGGUGAAGAAGGAAAUAUCUUCCCAAAAAAACUAGACGAAAGCAUUCUCGGAAUCUUCUUUGCCAUGUGUGUACUCAACUAACAGAGUUGACCCUAUCUUUUGACAGAGCAGUUUUGAAACACUCUUUUUGUGGAAUCUGCAAAUGGAUAUUUGGAUAGCUUCGAGGAUUUCGUUGGAAACGGGAAUAUCCUCAUAUAAAAUCUAGACGGAAGCAUUCUCAGAACCUGCUUUGUGAUGUUUGCAUUCAACUCACAGAGCUGAACAUUCCCGUUCAUAGAGCAGGUUUGAAACACUCUUUCUGGACUUCCUGGAAGUGGAUAUUUCGAGCGCUUUCAGGCCUAUGGUGAAAAAGGAAAUAUCUUCAAAUAAAAACUAGACAGAAGCAUUCUCAGAAACUUAUUUGUGAUGUGUGUCCUCAACUCACAGAGUUCAACCUUUGUUUUGAUACAGCAGUUUGGAAACACUCUUUUUGUAGAAUCUACAAAUGGAUAUUUGGAGACCUUUGAAAAUUUCGUUGGACACGGGAAUAUCUUCAUAUAAAAUCUAGACAAAAGCAUUCUCAGAAUCUUCUUUGUGAUGUUUGCAUUCAACUCAUAGAGUUGAACAUUCCCUUUCAUACAGCACGUUUGAAACACACUUUUUGUAGUAUGUGGAA
Molecule: long non-coding RNA, 660 nt
Filed under: Homo sapiens (human)
Lineage: Eukaryota; Metazoa; Chordata; Mammalia; Primates; Hominidae
Description: HSALNT0379650
Source: RNAcentral